CAUAAUCUAAAUUAACCUCUGUGCAGCAGAAUACUCAAACAAAACCUUGUUGCAGAAGCAUCAUGAACAUCCAGCGCAACAGCGGAAGCAAAAAAUAUUACAAGGGAAAAUCACAACAAUUGGCAAGGACGGAAUUUGAAGCAAUGGACAAAACUUAGGUGGGGAGGAACGCGGAAGACUGAAUAAACAAAUUGAAGAACCAGACGCGAAAGAAAUAUGUUAUUUAAGCGUGCCAUAGGCAAAGGUGAAAGUUCAGCCUGCUGAACGAAAAAUAAGCAAAUUCUUCAUCAAAUCUUCACCUGAAAAUCAGCAACCUUCUGAAAUGCAACAAUCUUGUGCACUAAACCGAAAGCUGACAAGACCUACACAUAAACUCCAAUGUUAGCAUGUUACAGAGAAAUAAAACUAAAAACAAGAAGGAAAUAAGGAAGAAUGAAGCAAGAUAUAAUUACCAAAGGAAGUGAAGAAAGCUAUCACCAAUAGGAACCUGCCUAAGAUUGUUAAUAAACCAGUAAAUGAGCCUAAACGGGAAAAAUCCCUUCAAAACACAUCGAAAAGUUGAGGAAAAAGUGACAAGCAAUGUUUUAUUAAGUACCAUAUUUUAACUCCACCAGAAACACUCGUGUUCUUCGAAACUCUAGAAUAACUGGCCUCAUUUAUUCAGAGUCCAAAAUAUCAGACGUAUUCAAAUUGAAUAAGGUACUCAAACAACCUGCAGUUUAUUAAAAAAAAAUAUAAAGAAAAUUUGGUAAGGCUCAUAAAUCUGAAGAACUCAAAUUAAACGAGUAGUAAAAGAAACUGUAAUGGAGAAGAUACAUCCACAACCAUGAACAUACUAACAUAAUUUCUCUACGACAUUUCUAUAUGCUGAAGAACUAAAACACCACCAGAAAAGAAAAUGGAGAAGGAAAUAUUAAACAUGUAAUACUUUCGAUAAAUCACAAAACGCGAGACUGGAAUUUAGCAAGUAAAAAUAUUUUUUCUAAUUUUUAGUUUGGUAUCUUAGUUGUCCUCAUUGUUGUUAACCUUUCCUGAGAGUUCUUUCAUUUUAAAUAAAAUUUCAUAAAAAAAAGAAAUCGAAAAUGGCAAGUGGCCACAGUUGAUCCUUUACAGGUUUGGCAACAUUCGAAGUCGCAUCAAGUCCUUCAAGCACCAAACAUAACUCAAUAAAUAGCAUAUACAAAACAUAAUUACGCCUUUUUUCAUCAUAAUACAACACGUUCGAACACAGUUCGAAUAAUUACCUGUCGAUAUCAACAAUUGUUGACCCAAACAGUGUCGAGUUGGCCCGCCAGAUUGAUCUUGCCAAGACAGUCAACGUGCAUGAUAGUGUAUCACUAAACAUCGAAGUACCUAAAGAACCUCGUCUAGCCAUCUUUGAUCAUGCCGCCCUCUUUAACUUUGCCGGGGAACACCAGAAGCAAGCUAGAAAUCCUAAACAAUUGAUAGCAGACAAUCAAUACCAGACUCCAUGUGCAUAUAUCGAAAAACCAAAUAACCCAUCAAAAAUAAUACGGUAUGAAUAUUAGUGAAGAAAAAAAAAAUAUUACAGAGCAAACAAACGGUGGAGUUCCUCCCCCUAAGAGAAUAUGUACAUUACACGACAACGGCGGAGAAUCAAAGACAAUUAACCAACCUAAAUUCGAUGCCGACGAACCUCAAUUUCGUUGCUCUUCUAGAUCUUCCGCUACCACUCUUUUUGCCGUCCUCCAAAUUUAGAGGAAAAAAAAACAGUAGUAACAAUGACAAGGCAAAAACAGAACAACAGAGCUAAUGGACAUGAAACUCAUCGUGAACGAGGAUCGACCGAGGUGGCGACGAAACAGGUGCCGGCUCGAAUGGAGUAGCGGUGGCGGUGCGACUGUUGGCCGAGUUUUGAAGCAAGUCACUGGAACGACUGGCCAAUCGCCGGAAAACAGGUUUAGAAUAACCCUUUCACAACCUCGUUCGAUUAUGAAACAUGAUUUACUUAUU
RNAcentral lists this long non-coding RNA (1974 nucleotides) under Erythranthe guttata (spotted monkey flower). Its description in RNAcentral is "long non-coding RNA (EGUT_LNC000920)". The record is from RNAcentral. Lineage: Eukaryota; Viridiplantae; Streptophyta; Magnoliopsida; Lamiales; Phrymaceae.